RNAcentral lists this ribosomal RNA (470 nucleotides) under uncultured bacterium. Its description in RNAcentral is "bacterial SSU rRNA". It matches the Rfam family "Bacterial small subunit ribosomal RNA", at positions 28 to 507 of the family's 1533-position model. The record is from RNAcentral.
GAUGAACGUUGGCGGUGUGCCUAAUACAUGCAAGUCGAACGGUGACGAUUUUGUAGUAAUACGAAUGAAAUCAUAGUGGCGAACGGGUGAGUAACGCGUUGGUGAUCUGCCCUGAAGUGUGGAAUAACGCUCCGAAAGGAGCGCUAAUACCGCAUGUGCUCUCGGAGUUUAGAAAUCUGAGAGUAAAGGAUUUAUUCGCUUCAGGAGGAGCCUGCGUCCCAUCAGCUGGUUGGCAGGGUAAAAGCCUACCAAGGCAAUGACGGGUAGGGGACCUGAGAGGGUGGCCCCCCACAAUGGAACUGAAACACGGUCCAUACACCUACGGGUGGCAGCAGUAGGGAAUAUUAGAAAUGGACGAAAGUCUGAUCUAGCGACACCGCGUGUGCGAAGAAGGCCUUCGGGUUGUAAAGCACUUUUUGGAAGGAAUAGGAAGGAAGGUACUUCCAGAAUAAGUCUCGGCUAACUACGUG